Molecule: ribosomal RNA, 467 nt
Filed under: uncultured bacterium
Lineage: Bacteria
Description: bacterial SSU rRNA
Rfam family: Bacterial small subunit ribosomal RNA
Source: RNAcentral
AAUCAACGCUGGCGGCGUGCCUCAGACAUGCAAGUCGAACGAUUAAAAGCUCUCUUCGGAGAGUGUAUAGAGUGGCGCACGGGUGAGUAACACGUAAGUAAUCUACCCUCGAGUGGGGAAUAACAACCGGAAACGGUUGCUAAUACCGCAUAAUGCAGCGGCACCGCAAGGUGACAGUUGUUAAAGAUUUAUCGCUUGAGGAGGAGCUUGCGGCAGAUUAGCUAGUUGGUAGGGUAACGGCUUACCAAGGCUACGAUCUGUAACCGGUCUAAGAGGACGGUCGGUCACACUGACACUGAAUAACGGGUCAGACUCCUACGGGAGGCAGCAGUCGGGAAUUUUGGGCAAUGGGCGAAAGCCUGACCCAGCAACGCCGCGUGAAGGAUGAAGUAUUUCGGUAUGUAAACUUCGAAAGAAUAGGAAGAAUUAAUGACGGUACUAUUUAUAAGGUCCGGCUAACUACGUAG